GUGAAAAAAUAAGCAUUUGCUCAUGGUCGUUUGCUUUUGUUACUUUGUAGAAUUUAAAGUCGAAUACUUUUCCAACAAAAUGUAGUAUUUUAGAUUCACCGUUCAACCAUGCCAGUGAUCAAGGUACGGGGAGUCGAAAUUGAUUUCCCAUACAAGCCUUACGACUGCCAAGUAAACUACAUGAGCAAAGUGAUUGAAUGUUUGCAAGAGGGUAAAAAUGGUAUCUUAGAAUCACCAACAGGAACUGGAAAGACAUUAUGUUUACUUUGUGCAACACUGGCCUGGAGAGACACAUUUGUGGCUCGCUUGCAACUGAGUAUGAAGGUUCAAGAAAAUAAAGCAAGUGGCCAGUUUUGUGAUGAUUUAGAAAGAAACCAUGCUGCUGAUGGCUGGAUGUCAGAAGAAAGUGAAGACCGAAAGUAUGCGUGCUAGGAUCACGUGACCAGCUGUGCAUUCAUCCCCAGGUUCCUGAACAAGAAACACACACGGCCAAGGCA
RNAcentral lists this unclassified non-coding RNA (497 nucleotides) under Dendronephthya gigantea. RNAcentral's name for it is "regulator of telomere elongation helicase 1 homolog, transcript variant X1". The record is from RNAcentral. Lineage: Eukaryota; Metazoa; Cnidaria; Anthozoa; Malacalcyonacea; Nephtheidae.